ACGGGAGGCAGCAGUGAGGAAUAUUGGUCAAUGGUCGGAAGACUGAACCAGCCAAGUAGCGUGAAGGAUGACUGCCCUAUGGGUUGUAAACUUCUUUUAUGCGGGAAUAAAGUACGCCACGCGUGGUGUUUUGCAUGUACCGCAUGAAUAAGGAUCGGCUAAUUCCGUGCCAGCAGCCGCGGUAAUACGGAAGAUCCGAGCGUUAUCCGGAUUUAUUGGGUUUAAAGGGAGCGUAGGCGGGCGUUUAAGUCAGUGGUCAAAGCGUGUGGCUCAACCAUACCACGCCAUUGAUACUGGAUGCCUUGAGUGCACAUAAGGAUGGUGGAAUUCAUGGUGUAGCGGUGAAAUGCUUAGAUAUCAUGAAGAACUCCGAUUGCGAAGGCAGCUGUCCGGGGUGUAACUGACGCUAAUGCUCGAAAGUGCGGGUAUCAAACAGGAUUAGAUACCCUGGUA
RNAcentral lists this ribosomal RNA (453 nucleotides) under uncultured Bacteroides sp. RNAcentral's name for it is "partial 16S ribosomal RNA". It matches the Rfam family "Bacterial small subunit ribosomal RNA", at positions 341 to 792 of the family's 1533-position model. Lineage: Bacteria; Pseudomonadati; Bacteroidota; Bacteroidia; Bacteroidales; Bacteroidaceae. The record is from RNAcentral.